RNAcentral lists this ribosomal RNA (253 nucleotides) under uncultured bacterium. RNAcentral's name for it is "partial 16S ribosomal RNA". It matches the Rfam family "Bacterial small subunit ribosomal RNA", at positions 524 to 776 of the family's 1533-position model. The record is from RNAcentral.
GACGUAGGGCGCAAGCGUUGUCCGGAAUUAUUGGGCGUAAAGAGCUCGUAGGCGGUCUGUCACGUCGGCUGUGAAAACCCGAGGCUCAACCUCGGGCCUGCAGUCGAUACGGGCAAACUAGAGUACUGCAGGGGAGACUGGAAUUCCUGGUGUAGCGGUGAAAUGCGCAGAUAUCAGGAGGAACACCGGUGGCGAAGGCGGGUCUCUGGGCAGUAACUGACGCUGAGGAGCGAAAGCGUGGGGAGCGAACAGG